AUUUUCAUUUUGUAUUUCAACCUUGAAUUGUAAUUUGCUUUUGCGUUUCAAGAUGCUUCACCUUUAGACUAGAAAAAAGACUAAAAAGUUUACAUAGAAUAAACACCAUAUCAGCUUUCGAGACAAUUUUUAAGGUCGGAGUAAGAUUUCAUAAUGAAAAGCACAGAAAGAAACUUUAUGUGCACGCUAAAGACAGAAGUGUACUUCCCGAUCCGAUUCCAUUGGAGGUAUUACCUAAAGGGUAUGGCGGAUAUGUGGGUACCGCGAAGGAAUUAACAGAUUAUUGGCUAGAAAAGUUUGAUGAUUAUGAAGAACGGUUUCAAGAUCUAUUUGAAAUUAUAUAGAAUGAAUGAAACAAAACGACCAGGCAAAGCCAAGACUACAGAGACAAUGUCCGACGUACAAGGAUCAUUUAGAAAACUCGAUGUCACGGAUUUUGCAUUGCUCAUAAAGAUUUAGACAUUAUUAUAAAGAGAUAAAUAUUGAAACACCUA
Trichoplusia ni (cabbage looper) is the source of this 494-nucleotide long non-coding RNA. RefSeq lists it as uncharacterized. Lineage: Eukaryota; Metazoa; Arthropoda; Insecta; Lepidoptera; Noctuidae. The transcript is spliced from 3 exons. The record is from RefSeq and is a predicted model, not a curated record.